CAGCGCCACAAGUGGGGACCUUUUUUAUUGGGCCUAAAGCGUCCGUAGCUGGUUUAGUAAAUCUCUUGUGAAAUCGUUAAGCUCAACUUAACGGCAUGCAGGAGACACUACUUUACUUGGGACCGGGAGAGGUAUGGAGUAUUUCGGGGGAACCGGUAAAAUGGGAUAAUCCUCGAAAGACUACCUGUGGCGAAGGCGCCAUACUAGAACGGAUCUGACAGUGAGGGACGAAGGCUAGGGGAGCAAACCGGAUUAGAUACCCGAGUAGUCC
This 271-nucleotide ribosomal RNA is filed under the name uncultured archaeon. RNAcentral's name for it is "partial 16S ribosomal RNA". It matches the Rfam family "Archaeal small subunit ribosomal RNA", at positions 477 to 747 of the family's 1478-position model. The record is from RNAcentral.